RNAcentral lists this transfer-messenger RNA (357 nucleotides) under Salinimonas chungwhensis. RNAcentral's name for it is "Alteromonas chungwhensis Standard tmRNA". It matches the Rfam family "transfer-messenger RNA". From Rfam's summary of the family: Bacterial tmRNA, also known as 10Sa RNA or SsrA, is named for its dual tRNA and mRNA-like properties. Its role is to liberate the mRNA from a stalled ribosome. To accomplish this part of the tmRNA is used as a reading frame that ends in a translation stop signal. Lineage: Bacteria; Pseudomonadati; Pseudomonadota; Gammaproteobacteria; Alteromonadales; Alteromonadaceae. The record is from RNAcentral. RNAcentral also lists the same sequence under 2 other names.
GGGGCUGAUUAGGAUUCGACAGGAUCUAGGACGCUGGAGGUGCAUGCAGAGGUGCGGAUUGCCUCUUAAAAAAUCCGCUUUAAAUAGUCGCAAACGACGAAAACUACGCACUAGCCGCUUAAUAACCGGUAUAGGCCCUUCCACCACAGCUUUGUUUGCUAGCGUGGAUUCGGAAGGUCAUAUAAGCAAACUAGCGAGGGAAACUCUCCUGAGGUUGAACCGCGAAAUAGUAUCAGGACCGCUACCAAGAACCCUGUUUGUCGGGGUCUGAAGUAGUUAAACAAAAGACAAACUAAGCAUGUAGUACCAAAAGUAGACAUUUUCUGGACGCGGGUUCAAAUCCCGCCAGCUCCACCA